GACGAACGCUGGCGGCGUGCUUAACACAUGCAAGUCGAACGGAAAGGCCCUGCUUUUGUGGGGUGCUCGAGUGGCGAACGGGUGAGUAACACGUGAGUAACCUGCCCUUGACUUUGGGAUAACUUCUGGAAACUGGGGCUAAUACCGGAUAGGAGCUCCUGCUGCAUGGUGGGGGUUGGAAAGUUUCGGCGGUUGGGGAUGGACUCGCGGCUUAUCAGCUUGUUGGUGGGGUAGUGGCUUACCCAGGCUUUGACGGGUAGCCGGCCUGGGAGGGUGGCCGGCCACAUGGGGACUGAGAUACGGCGCAGACUGGUACGGGAGGCAGCAGGGGGGAAUAUUGCGCAAUGGGCGGAAGCCUGAUGCGAAGACGCCGCGUGCGGGAAGACGGCCUUCGGGGUGUAAACCGCUUUCGCCUGAGACGAAGCGUGAGUGACGGUAAUGGGUAAAGAAGCACCGGCUAACUACGUG
This 468-nucleotide ribosomal RNA is filed under the name uncultured bacterium. Its description in RNAcentral is "partial 16S ribosomal RNA". It matches the Rfam family "Bacterial small subunit ribosomal RNA", at positions 28 to 507 of the family's 1533-position model. The record is from RNAcentral.